GGACAACCUACCCUCAGAUCUGGGAUAAACCUGGGAAACUGGGUAUAAUACCGGAUAGGUCUUGGAUGCUGGAAUGCACCGAGGCCCAAAGCUCCGGCGUCUGAGGAUGGGUCUGCGGCCUAUCAGGGUAGUAGUGGGUGUAAAGUACCUACUAGCCUACGACGGGUACGGGUCGUGAGAGCGAGAGCCCGGAGAUGGAUUCUGAGACACGAAUCCAGGCCCUACGGGGUGCAGCAGGCGCGAAAACUUUACAAUGCCGGCAACGGCGAUAAGGGGACCUCGAGUGCCAGGAUACAAUCCUGGCUGUCGUAAUGCCUAAAAAGCAUUAUAUAGCAAGGGCCGGGCAAGACCGGUGCCAGCCGCCGCGGUAACACCGGCGGCUCGAGUGGUAACCGCUAUUAUUGGGUCUAAAGGGUCUGUAGCCGGCCUGGUAAGUCUUUUGGGAAAUCCGGCAGCUCAACUGUCGGGCUAUCAGAGGAUACUGCUAGGCUCGAGACCGGGAGAGGUGAGAGGUACUUCAUGGGUAGGGGUGAAAUCUUGUAAUCCUUGAAGGACCACCAGUGGCGAAGGCGUCUCACCAGAACGGAUCUGACGGCAAGGGACGAAAGCUAGGGGCACGAACCGGAUUAGAUACCCGGGUAGUCCUAGCCGUAAACGAUACUCGCUAGGUGUCGGCCACGGUGCGACCGUGGUCGGUGCCGUAGGGAAGCCGUGAAGCGAGCCACCUGGGAAGUACGGCCGCAAGGCUGAAACU
RNAcentral lists this ribosomal RNA (754 nucleotides) under uncultured archaeon. RNAcentral's name for it is "bacterial SSU rRNA". It matches the Rfam family "Archaeal small subunit ribosomal RNA", at positions 102 to 856 of the family's 1478-position model. The record is from RNAcentral.